This 497-nucleotide ribosomal RNA is filed under the name uncultured bacterium. RNAcentral's name for it is "partial 16S ribosomal RNA". It matches the Rfam family "Bacterial small subunit ribosomal RNA", at positions 28 to 507 of the family's 1533-position model. The record is from RNAcentral.
GAUGAACGCUGGCGGCGUGCCUAAUACAUGCAAGUCGAGCGAACAGACGAGGAGCUUGCUCCUCUGACGUUAGCGGCGGACGGGUGAGUAACACGUGGAUAACCUACCUAUAAGACUGGGAUAACUUCGGGAAACCGGAGCUAAUACCGGAUAACAUGUUGAACCGCAUGGUUCAACAGUGAAAGACGGUUUUGCUGUCACUUAUAGAUGGAUCCGCGCCGCAUUAGCUAGUUGGUAAGGUAACGGCUUACCAAGGCAACGAUGCGUAGCCGACCUGAGAGGGUGAUCGGCCACACUGGAACUGAGACACGGUCCAGACUCCUACGGGAGGCAGCAGUAGGGAAUCUUCCGCAAUGGGCGAAAGCCUGACGGAGCAACGCCGCGUGAGUGAAGAAGGUCUUCGGAUCGUAAAACUCUGUUAUUAGGGAAGAACAAAUGUGUAAGUAACUAUGCUCGUCUUGACGGUACCUAAUCAGAAAGCCACGGCUAACUACGUG